Molecule: long non-coding RNA, 1116 nt
Filed under: Mus spicilegus (steppe mouse)
Lineage: Eukaryota; Metazoa; Chordata; Mammalia; Rodentia; Muridae
Description: lncRNA (ENSMSIG00000014837.1)
Source: RNAcentral
AUGACCUGUGUGAUUGUUAAGCCAGCCAGGUUGAUGGCUGAAGUGACAUCACCGAUGACCAGCUGUCGUCUGCAUUCUAGUGUUCAAUCAGCACACGGCACAGAGACUAACAGUUCCAGGCCAGGGCUGGAAUGUCACGUGACUGAAGAACAAGGUCGCCAGAGCCAUGAGCUCUACUCAACACACAUGUCCUAUGAUAAGCUACUCGGUGGCCAGGUCAUUGAAGUUCACCGUCUAGACUUUAAAGGGGGAGCUCCAGGAGAGGGAAUUUGUAGAUGGCAUGGAUGGAGCUGAGAAGCAGGGAUGGAAGGCUGCUACAUCGCCAGGAUCUCAGCAAACCAGAAGCAGGAACAUCUGGCGGCAUGUCCUCCGAGGAAGCAGACAAGGGCAACUCCCUAAAUAGGCAGCUGGAGCCUCUGAGUCCCAUGCUGUCCCAGAGAUCAUGGCUUUGUUCACUUGGAGUGCCAUUUGCUCUUUCUCUGCCUCUCUGCAGAACACAUUGAUACAUUUCUCUUUAUUGGGGAGUGGCCUGGGUGUGCCUCUAUUUUUGCACGCUAGAAAGUACCUUCCAAACCUAAGAGACACACAAAGGGGUUAUGUCAUUAACAAGAGGAUUCUUUUCUUGGAGGUGGUCUCAGUACCAGAUGCAGGAACAAGCAGAAUGUGAGGCGAGACAGAUGGGUACUGUCUCAGAGAAUCAGACAACAUUUAUCAGACAAUGUCAUCUGGACUUUCAUGUAAGAGGGUGCCUUACUGGAAGUGAGGGAAGAAAGCCACCCCCCAACAAUCUCUGAGACUAGAUGGAAGCUGUUUUGAGGUACAAUGUUGCCCUGUUUCAAAAGCCAUAUUGAAAAUGCCAGAGAGAACACUGUGACAUAGUUGUCAAAGGGUUGUGACAACUUGCCUCAAAGACCCAAGAAAUAGGUAGGACACUCAGGUCCAUAAUCUGUGACGGUUCACCUUCAUUGUCAACCUGACAAGUUAGAAUCGCCUGAAACCAGUCUUUGGGUAUGACAGAUCCAAAGAGGUUUAACUGGUGACACACCCUGGAGGAGGAAGGAACCGUUAAGUAGGAGAUCAUUAACUGAAUAAAACAAAGACAGUAAAAUAGCGACA